Molecule: small nuclear RNA, 107 nt
Organism: Bison bison bison
Lineage: Eukaryota; Metazoa; Chordata; Mammalia; Artiodactyla; Bovidae
Source: Ensembl
GUGCUCGCUUCAGCAGCAUAUACACUAAAGUUGGAACAAUACAGAGAAGCUUAGCAUGGGCCCUGCGCAAGGAUGACAUGCAAAUUCAUGAAGCAUUCCAUAUUUUU